This 28-nucleotide small RNA is filed under the name Bombyx mori (domestic silkworm). Its description in RNAcentral is "ovarian small RNA-4072". Lineage: Eukaryota; Metazoa; Arthropoda; Insecta; Lepidoptera; Bombycidae. The record is from RNAcentral.
UUCUGAAAUUACAUAAAACGACAUAGGC